This 488-nucleotide ribosomal RNA is filed under the name uncultured eubacterium WR8176. Its description in RNAcentral is "bacterial SSU rRNA". It matches the Rfam family "Bacterial small subunit ribosomal RNA", at positions 9 to 527 of the family's 1533-position model. The record is from RNAcentral.
GAGUUUGAUCCUGGCUCAGAAUCAACGCUGGCGGCGUGCCUAACACAUGCAAGUCGAACGAGAAAGGGCUUUCGGGCCUGAGUAAAGUGGCGCACGGGUGAGUAACACGUGACUAACCUACCCUUGAGCGGGGGAUAACCUAGGGAAACCUGGGCUAAUACCGCAUAACACCUACGGGUCAAAGCGAGCAAUCGCACUUAAGGAGGGGGUCGCGGCAGAUUAGCUAGUUGGUGAGGUAAUGGCUCACCAAGGCGAUGAUCUGUAUCCGGCCUGAGAGGGCGCACGGACACACUGGAACUGAAACACGGUCCAGACUCCUACGGGAGGCAGCAGUGGGGAAUUUUGCGCAAUGGGGGAAACCCUGACGCAGCAACGCCGCGUGGAGGAUGAAGUCCCUUGGGACGUAAACCCCUUUCGAUCGGGACGAUUAUGACGGUACCGGAAGAAGAAGCCCCGGCUAACUUCGUGCCAGCAGCCGCGGUAAUACG